RNAcentral lists this ribosomal RNA (403 nucleotides) under Motuweta isolata. RNAcentral's name for it is "partial 12S ribosomal RNA". It matches the Rfam family "Bacterial small subunit ribosomal RNA", at positions 883 to 1522 of the family's 1533-position model. Lineage: Eukaryota; Metazoa; Arthropoda; Insecta; Orthoptera; Anostostomatidae. The record is from RNAcentral.
UAGUUAUAGUCUUGAAACUCAAAGAAUUUGGCGGUGUUUUAGUCUAUUCAGAGGAAUCUGUCCUAUAAUCGACAAUACACGAAAUAUUUUACUUAAUUUUGUAAUCAGUUUGUAUACCGCCGUCAUCAGAUUAUCUUUUUAGAGUUAAUAAUCAGGAAUCUCAGGUGGAAGAAUGUCAGGUCAAGGUGCAGUUUAUAAUUAAGGGGGAGAUGGAUUACAAUAAAUAAAUAAAUUUAUACGGAAAUUAAUAUGAAAAAUUAAUAGAAGGUGGAUUUGAUAGUAAGGUUAUAUUUAGUAACUUGAUUUUUAGCUCUAAAACAUGUACAUAUCGCCCGUCGCUCUCGUUAUUAAGGUGAGAUAAGUCGUAACAAAGUAGGUGUACUGGAAAGUGUACCUAGAAAGU